ACACAAUGACCUCAGUAUUGAAGGACAGACAGAGUACUGCUCACUUAGUGCUGACACCCGAUCAAGGAUACUAGACUGAGGAAAUUCAAAUCAAGAUCUCAAGUAUCCUCUGGAGUCAAUCCAGAGUAUCCAAGCAUUCCCCACCAAGCCCAGGGGGACACCGAUGCCACGGAAUUUUUCAAGAAAAGAGGUUAUCAUCUGACCGGCCAGAGUGGCUUCUGCUCCAUCUUCAUUACUGGACAAGCCAGCAGAAACAGCAUUGAAGUGCUGCUGUGCAGCGGCCAAGGCUUCAGCAUCUUUAUGACUCGCUUCUUGAAGGCUGUGCAGCCCAUCUGUUAUCUUUUUAACUUCUUUUUCCUUUGCUGCUAAUGUUUUAGAGUCCUUUGGGGAAAAUGUUAAAAUGAAAAAAUAUUUUAAAAAAAAAUUCAAUUCAUUUGGUUAUUAAAGUUCAUAGCAUUCUGAGGGGGCACAAUAAAAAAUGUAAUUUAACUGUCA
Peromyscus eremicus (cactus mouse) is the source of this 495-nucleotide long non-coding RNA. RefSeq lists it as uncharacterized. The transcript has 2 exons. Lineage: Eukaryota; Metazoa; Chordata; Mammalia; Rodentia; Cricetidae. The record is from RefSeq and is a predicted model, not a curated record.